This 857-nucleotide ribosomal RNA is filed under the name uncultured Bacteroidales bacterium. RNAcentral's name for it is "bacterial SSU rRNA". It matches the Rfam family "Bacterial small subunit ribosomal RNA", at positions 28 to 877 of the family's 1533-position model. The record is from RNAcentral. Lineage: Bacteria; Pseudomonadati; Bacteroidota; Bacteroidia; Bacteroidales.
GAUGAACGCUAGCUACAGGCUUAACACAUGCAAGUCGAGGGGCAGCAUGGUCUUAGCUUGCUAAGGCCGAUGGCGACCGGCGCACGGGUGAGUAACACGUAUCCAACCUGCCGUCUACUCUUGGACAGCCUUCUGAAAGGAAGAUUAAUACAAGAUGGCAUCAUGAGUCCGCAUGUUCACAUGAUUAAAGGUAUUCCGGUAGACGAUGGGGAUGCGUUCCAUUAGAUAGUAGGCGGGGUAACGGCCCACCUAGUCUUCGAUGGAUAGGGGUUCUGAGAGGAAGGUCCCCCACAUUGGAACUGAGACACGGUCCAAACUCCUACGGGAGGCAGCAGUGAGGAAUAUUGGUCAAUGGGCGCAGGCCUGAACCAGCCAAGUAGCGUGAAGGAUGACUGCCCUGUGGGUUGUAAACUUCUUUUAUAAAGGAAUAAAGUCGGGUAUGGAUACCCGUUUGCAUGUACUUUAUGAAUAAGGAUCGGCUAACUCCGUGCCAGCAGCCGCGGUAAUACGGAGGAUCCGAGCGUUAUCCGGAUUUAUUGGGUUUAAAGGGAGCGUAGAUGGAUGUUUAAGUCAGUUGUGAAAGUUUGCGGCUCAACCGUAAAAUUGCAGUUGAUACUGGAUAUCUUGAGUGCAGUUGAGGCAGGCGGAAUUCGUGGUGUAGCGGUGAAAUGCUUAGAUAUCACGAAGAACUCCGAUUGCGAAGGCAGCCUGCUAAGCUGCAACUGACAUUGAGGCUCGAAAGUGUGGGUAUCAAACAGGAUUAGAUACCCUGGUAGUCCACACGGUAAACGAUGAAUACUCGCUGUUUGCGAUAUACGGCAAGCGGCCAAGCGAAAGCGUUAAGUAUUCCACCUGGG